Molecule: long non-coding RNA, 531 nt
Organism: Saccostrea cuccullata (small rock oyster)
Lineage: Eukaryota; Metazoa; Mollusca; Bivalvia; Ostreida; Ostreidae
Exons: 4
Source: RefSeq, a predicted model, not a curated record
UAUGGACAGUCCAAGUCAUUCUGCACAGUAUUGUACAUACACAUUUAUGGAAAACGAUUCCCACAAGAUACUGCAGUGCUUAGUGACCAUGAUCGAACAAGAGAAUGAUAGGAAUAAACAGUGCCAUCCUUGAAAAGGCGUGUUUUCAGAAGGGCCUGCAGUUUCUCCUUUAAACAGAAAUAAAGAAAGUGAAUACCCAGAAAUAAAACAUUUAUUCGACAUCUGGCAUGGGUCCAAAAACCUUGGGAAAAAACUAAUAAAGACUGGACAAGAAAAAUCAAAAAAGCCAAUAUUGCAGUGGACGAGAGAGAUAGUAAACCAUCAUCUGUAGCAACGAAAUACAGAAGAUGAGUUUAUUGGCAUUUGGUUUGGAGUCAUACAUCAUGUUGUGAAUGAGCAUGAAUGGAUUUUGCCAUAUACAUAUAGAGCAGGAGGAAGAAGUUCAUGCCAGCAUGGUCAAAAUUAACAGAGGAAAGGGACAAAAAUUGGUUUGAGGCAGGAUCUCCAGCACAUGUUGCCGUGCGUGAAAUU